UGGACCUGAUAAAAUCAAACUUGUCUUUCUUCCUUCCGUGU
Molecule: ribosomal RNA, 41 nt
Filed under: Globisporangium spinosum
Lineage: Eukaryota; Oomycota; Peronosporomycetes; Pythiales; Pythiaceae
Description: partial 28S ribosomal RNA
Source: RNAcentral